This 460-nucleotide ribosomal RNA is filed under the name uncultured bacterium. RNAcentral describes it as "partial 16S ribosomal RNA". It matches the Rfam family "Bacterial small subunit ribosomal RNA", at positions 338 to 795 of the family's 1533-position model. The record is from RNAcentral.
CCUACGGGAGGCAGCAGUGAGGAAUAUUGGUCAAUGGCCGAGAGGCUGAACCAGCCAAGUCGCGUGAGGGAAGACGGCCCUACGGGUUGUAAACCUCUUUUGUCGGGGAGCAAAGCGAGUCACGUGUGACUCAUUGAGAGUACCCGAAGAAAAAGCAUCGGCUAACUCCGUGCCAGCAGCCGCGUUAAUACGGAGGGUGCGAGCGUUAUACGGUUUUAUGGGGUUUAAAGGGUGCGCAGGCGGGGGUGCAAGUCAGCGGGGAAAGUGGGGGGACAAAACCCGGUCUGGCGUUGGAACCGGGAUGGCUGGAGUGCAGGAGAGGUAAGUGGAAGUCGUAGUGUAGAGAUGAAAGGCGUAGAUAUUACGAGGAACACAAGGUGAGAAGGCGGCAUACGGGACCGAAACUGACGUUGAGGCUCGAAAGCGUGGGUAGCAAACAGGAUUAGAUACCCGAGUAGUC